GAUGAACGCUGGCGGCGUGCCUAAUACAUGCAAGUCGAGCGAACAGACGAGGAGCUUACUCCUCUGACGUUAGCGGCGGACGGGUGAGUAACACGUGGAUAACCUACCUAUAAGACUGGGAUAACUUCGGGAAACCGGAGCUAAUACCGGAUAACAUGUUGAACCGCAUGGUUCAACAGUGAAAGACGGUCUUGCUGUCACUUAUAGAUGGAUCUGCGUCGCAUUAGCUAGUUGGUAAGGUAACGGCUUACCAAGGCAACGAUGCGUAGCCGACCUGAGAGAGUGAGCAGACAGUCAGGAAGUGAGGCAGGAAGCUGACUCCUGCGGGAGGCAGCAGUGGGAAAUCUGCCGAAAAGGACGAAAGCCUGACGAAGCAACGCAGGGUGAAUGAAGAAGGUCUUCUGAUCGUAAAACUCUGUUAUUAGGGAAGAACAAUUGUGUUAGUGCCUAUGAACGUCGUGACGGUACCGAAUCAGAAAGCCACGGCUAACUACGUG
Molecule: ribosomal RNA, 497 nt
Filed under: uncultured bacterium
Lineage: Bacteria
Description: partial 16S ribosomal RNA
Rfam family: Bacterial small subunit ribosomal RNA
Source: RNAcentral